UCCAGGCCUCACUUUUGUCGGCAUAGC
RNAcentral lists this non-coding RNA (27 nucleotides) under Mus musculus (house mouse). Lineage: Eukaryota; Metazoa; Chordata; Mammalia; Rodentia; Muridae. The record is from RNAcentral.